AACAAGAUGGAAAUCAACUUUUUACAAAGUCUGACAGUGGUAGGACAAAGGGAAGAGUUUUAAACUAAAAGAGGGGAGAUUUAUAUUAGAUGUUAGGAGAAUUCUUUACUCAGAGCAUGGUGAGGUGCUGGAACAUGUUCCCCAGUUCACCUGUGGACUCCCCAUCCCUGUAGGCAUUCAAGGCCAGGUGGGAUGGGUCCCUGAGUGGCAUGGUCUGGUAGCUGGCAAACCCCAUGGCAAGGGGUUGGAACUUGAUGAUCUUUAAGGUCCAUUCCAGCUCAAGCUUUUCUAUGAUACUCUGAUUCUUUUCUUAGCAAUCUGCACAAGACCUAGAUCAUGUCCACACACCUUUGGCUGCCUGUGUGAACGCGUGCCUUGCUCUAUGCAGGCUGGAGGAGACACUCAACUCUCUCUCCAUAAGGGAUCUUGUACGGACCUAGAACUGAAGGAGAACAAAAAACAAAGGUGGAUUUGGCCUAGAAACUCCACUUUGCAUGGAGAGUGAGAGGAGUUGUGUGGAUGACAAGGAGGUAGAUGCUGUGGGGUGGCAAAAAGCUCACCUGAAGAAAGACUGACAACAAGUGAAGAAAUCUGCCACUUCUGAACCAGAAAAUCAGUACAUGGCAAGUUGUUAAUACCAAGCUUGCCACAACAUGUAUAGCAGAUUUUCAGGUGCAUCGCCUGAUCAACUGUUGUGUUUUAGAUGUUCCAUUAGUGUCAGGAAAAGGGGACAAGUUACUGUAUCUAGUAGAAACAUUUCUUCCAUGGGGUAUGCAAUCUGGGACAACACCAAAGCCUUUUACAUGUGCUGAGAAAGGUCUAUCUGAGAUGUGGUCCCCAGUCAGGGAAAAGCUAGACCAGCUUCUUUAGAGUUGUUGUUUGAAGAUUAUAACUCGUGUUUGUGCUCCAGCUACAGGAGCAUUUUGUAGUCAUUCUGUGAAGACAGCUUCCAUCCACCAUAUCUUCCAUCAUUCCUUCUCUAUUCAUAAACAGCAGGUCUAGUAGGGCAUCUCCCCUGGUAGGCUUUCUUUCCAGCUGUGUUAGUUUUGUAUCCAUAGUUUUAUUGUUCAUAUUCUUUAUUUCUUAACCCCAGCACAACACCCCAGUGCUACAACUUGAAAAGCAGCAAAACACGAUGCCUCAACUGUCUGCACAAUAUGAUGAACAAGAGGAUGAUAUGAAAGAAGGUAGAAGGAUCUCACUUGGAAAGCCAGGGAAGAGGUUGGUGGUGCCUUAGCCUCAGCUCUGGCCAGCUGUACCCUGUUGUCCCCAUGGAAAGCGCACACACUUUUUCCCCAUGCUUCACUCAAUAAAU
This is a long non-coding RNA of Gallus gallus (chicken), 1315 nucleotides long. NCBI's taxonomy places the organism in Eukaryota, Metazoa, Chordata, Aves, Galliformes, Phasianidae. The record is from Ensembl.